Molecule: non-coding RNA, 850 nt
Organism: Nothobranchius furzeri (turquoise killifish)
Lineage: Eukaryota; Metazoa; Chordata; Actinopteri; Cyprinodontiformes; Nothobranchiidae
Source: RefSeq, a predicted model, not a curated record
CACAAAAGGAAUGGAGUCAUUAGCACUUAUAGUUUGUAAAUGGCACCCAGAAUUAUGUUGCACGAAGCACAAUUUCAAAUCAUUCUGGGUCCAUUUGUGUGAAAACAAGGUCCAAUCAGGCUGAAACGUUACAAGAAGGUAGAAUCAAUUGACUUGUAAGUGAUCUGAACGUUUCAUGAUGAUCGCACAUUCCUAUAGGGGGUCAAACCAUGUCCCAAAGGUCACCGGGCCUGGUGUCACUUUAAAGAAGUAGUCCAGUUACACCUUUGUGGGCUUAUAACUGUUGUGAGCUGGGAGGUGAGCACUCCACAUACACCAUGACAUCACCUGGCUUGUGAGUUCUGUUUUCAGGAGAGAGAGCAGCAGCUGCAAUCGAUCAGCUGAUCAGUGGGUGGCCCUCAUAAGGAGGACGGAGGACACUGCUAAGCCGCCGGAUGAUUACGCCUACUGGCUCAGUCAUCUUUCCAUACACCACCUCCUCGCUGAGACCUUUUGGAUUUACUACUCGACCAUACUACGUCUGGACUUCACUCCCGGUUCCCGUCCUCCUCACGGCACUAACUGCUCCCAGCACUACAGGCUCUCUCUCUCCUUCCCUCCGGUUGUAAAACCUUGCCGAUCUUCAUCACCCCGGAAUACUCAGUCACUCUCCCAGCUCACCCCUCCCUGGAGAUCCUCCAUCACGCUACAUCUGUAAGUCCUCCUACCAAACUCAUCCUCUACCACACUACAGUUUCAAUCAAGGACUCACCUCUGUUUCCCUUCCCUCAGACGCUGCUCCCGUUUACCCAUUCACUGGAUUUCCAGUGCACCCUAAGUUCUAGUUACCAAAUAAAUCUUUAUUUUUUCA